RNAcentral lists this ribosomal RNA (234 nucleotides) under uncultured bacterium. RNAcentral describes it as "partial 16S ribosomal RNA". It matches the Rfam family "Bacterial small subunit ribosomal RNA", at positions 102 to 334 of the family's 1533-position model. The record is from RNAcentral.
ACGGGUGAGUAACACGUAUCCAACCUGCCGUCUACUCUUGGCCAGCCUUCUGAAAGGAAGAUUAAUCCAGGAUGGCAUCAUGAGCUCACAUGUCCGCAUGAUUAAAGGUAUUUUCCGGUAGACGAUGGGGAUGCGUUCCAUUAGAUAGUAGGCGGGGUAACGGCCCACCUAGUCAACGAUGGAUAGGGGUUCUGAGAGGAAGGUCCCCCACAUUGGAACUGAGACACGGUCCAA